AGUGCCCUGAGGAUUCCAAUCCAAUAGGUCCAGAAUGGCCCAGGAGAUUCUAAUGAAGGGUUUAGGGUGUCAGCUGCUCUAAUGGGGCUAAGAGGCAAAACUUGGCCUCUUCUGGGCUUUCCCAAAUUCACUCUGCCAGUUAAUCUGAAAUGUCAGGGAGGGGAAGGCUGUUUGAAGCUUUGAAAGCUCACAUUGUCUCCCUCAUCCCAUUUCAGCAAGAGAGCCUUCCUAGAAGAGAUGGAGUAAUUUCCAGAACUGGAACAAAGGGAGAGACCUGGGCUCACAGACAGACAGGAAGAUGAGCUCAGAGGACAUCCUGCUUCACCCAGUCUUUUGCAGGGGAGUCCCAACCAAGGAGAGGUGCCUGACUAGGGAAUCCCACAUACCCACCAACUUCCAAAGAGCUGAAACUGGUAAGAACUACUAAAAGCCUAUAACACAACUCUAGCAGGUUAAAUAGUAUCCCCCCAAAACUCAUGCCCACCAUGAACCUCAGAAUAUCACCUUAUUUGGAAAUGAGGUCUUUGCGAUGUAAGUGAUUAAAACUCAAGAUGAGAUCAUACUGGAUCUGGAUGGGUCCCAAAUCCAAUAGCUGGUGUCCUUAGAAGAAGGAGAGAGGACACACAGAGGCAAGAAGGCUAAGUGCAGACAGAUGCAGAGAUUGGAGGGAUGCUACCAUGAGCCAAGGACACCAGGGGUCACCAGGAGUCAGAAGAACAAGGAAGGAUGUGCCAUAGAAACUCCAGAGGGAGCAUGACCCUGCUGACAACUUUUCUCUUUUUAAUCAGCAUGCUGAUUAACUGAAAGUCUAUCUUGUUUUAUUUAGAUCUUUAAGUAUUUCACAAUUGACUUUAGCUGUGUCAGCAGGAGUCCAGAAGUAUAACUGAUUAACUAUCCAAAAUUGAUGGGUACGAGUCUAGUUUUAACAACAUAUUAUACUCAAAUACACACACCUACAAGGCAUGGCAAAUCUGACUGAUAAGGAACCAGCUCAGAUGUUUGGCUGCCAACUUGACUUGGGACUUCUGGCCUCUCAAACUGUGAGAGAAUAAAUUCCUGUUGUUUUAAGCCA
Molecule: long non-coding RNA, 1072 nt
Organism: Bos indicus x Bos taurus (hybrid cattle)
Lineage: Eukaryota; Metazoa; Chordata; Mammalia; Artiodactyla; Bovidae
Source: Ensembl